GUUGCCUACGGGACGCAGCAGUAGGGAAUAUUGCUCAAUGGGGGGAACCCUGAUCCAGCGACGCCGCGUGAGUGAAGAAGUAUUUCGGUAUGUAAAGCUCUAUCAGCAGGGAAGAAAGAAAUGACGGUACCUGACUAAGAAGCCCCGGCUAACUACGUGCCAGCAGCCGCGGUAAUACGUAGGGGGCAGGCGUUAUCCGGAUUUACUGGGUGUAAAGGGAGCGUAGACGGCGAUGCAAGUCUGAAGUGAAAGGCGGGGGCCCAACCCCCGGACUGCUUUGGAAACUGUAUAGCUGGAGUGCAGGG
Molecule: ribosomal RNA, 305 nt
Filed under: uncultured bacterium
Lineage: Bacteria
Description: bacterial SSU rRNA
Rfam family: Bacterial small subunit ribosomal RNA
Source: RNAcentral